This 460-nucleotide ribosomal RNA is filed under the name uncultured bacterium. RNAcentral describes it as "partial 16S ribosomal RNA". It matches the Rfam family "Bacterial small subunit ribosomal RNA", at positions 28 to 523 of the family's 1533-position model. The record is from RNAcentral.
AACGAACGCUGGCGGCAUGCCUAACACAUGCAAGUCGAACGGUGUUCCCGCUUCGGCGGGGGCAUAGUGGCGCACGGGUGAGUAACGCGUGGGAACCUGCCCCGUGGUACGGAACAACUCCGGGAAACUGGAGCUAAUACCGUAUGUGUCCCCUGGGACAAAGAUUGCAUCGCCAUGGGAGGGGCCCGCGUAGGAUUAGGUAGUUGGCGGGGUAACGGCCCACCAAGCCCGCGAUCCUUAGCUGGUCUGAGAGGAUGAUCAGCCACACUGGGACUGAGACACGGCCCAGACUCCUACGGGAGGCAGCAGUGGGGAAUAUUGGACAAUGGGCGCAAGCCUGAUCCAGCAAUGCCGCGUGUGUGAUGAAGGCCUUCGGGUUGUAAAGCUCUUUCGCACGCGACGAUGAUGACGGUAGCGUGAGAAGAAGCCCCGGCUAACUUCGUGCCAGCCGCCGCCGUAA